GAUGAACGCUGGCGGCGUGCUUAACACAUGCAAGUCGAACGGAAAGACCCUGCUCUUGUGGGGUGCUCGAGUGGCGAACGGGUGAGUAAAACGCGUGUAACCCGCACUUAACAUAGGGAUAACUCCUGGAAACUGGGGCUAUUAUCGGAGAGGAGCUCCUGCAGCAUGGUGGGGGUUGGAAAGUUUCGGCGGUUGGGGCUGGUCUCGCGGCAUAUGCGCUUGUUGGUGGGGUAGUGGCUUACCCAGGCUUUGACGGGUAGCCGGCCUGAGAGGGUGACCGGCCACAGUGGGACUGGGAUGCGGCCCAGACGGCUACGGGAGGCAGGAGUGGAGAAUAGUGCACGAUGGGCGGAAGCAGGAUGCAGCAUCGCCGCGUGCGGGAUGACGGCCUUCGGGUAGUAAACCGCUUUCGCGUGUGACGAAGCGUGAGGGCGGUAACUGGGCAAAGAGGCACCGCCUAAUUACGU
Molecule: ribosomal RNA, 467 nt
Filed under: uncultured bacterium
Lineage: Bacteria
Description: partial 16S ribosomal RNA
Rfam family: Bacterial small subunit ribosomal RNA
Source: RNAcentral